UUGCAUUCACCGAAAGAAGCUUAGUGGCGAACGGGUGAGUAACACGUAGGCAACCUGCCCAAAAGAGGGGGAUAACACUUGGAAACAGGUGCUAAUACCGCAUAACCAUGAACACCGCAUGAUGGUCAUGGUAAAAGACGGCUUUUGCUGUCACUUUUGGAUGGGCCUGCGGCGUAUUAACUUGUUGGUGGGGUAACGGCCUACCAAGGUGAUGAUACGUAGCCGAACUGAGAGGUUGAUCGGCCACAUUGGGACUGAGACACGGCCCAAACUCCUACGGGAGGCAGCAGUAGGGAAUCUUCCACAAUGGACGAAAGUCUGAUGGAGCAACGCCGCGUGAAUGAAGAAGGCCUUCGGGUCGUAAAAUUCUGUUGUCAGAGAAGAACGUGCGUGAGAGUAACUGUUCACGUAUUGACGGUAUCUGACCAGAAAGCCACGGCUAACUACGUGCCAGCAGCCGCGGUAAUACGUAGGUGGCGAGCGUUGUCCGGAUUUAUUGGGCGUAAAGGGAACGCAGGCGGUCUUUUAAGUCUGAUGUGAAAGCCUUCGGCUUAACCGAAGUAGUGCAUUGGAAACUGGAAGACUUGAGUGCAGAAGAGGAGAGUGGAACUCCAUGUGUAGCGGUGAAAUGCGUAGAUAUAUGGAAGAACACCAGUGGCGAAAGCGGCUCUCUGGUCUGUAACUGACGCUGAGGUUCGAAAGCGUGGGUAGCAAACAGGAUUAGAUACCCUGGUAGUCCACGCCGUAAACGAUGAGUGCUAAGUGUUGGAGGGUUUCCGCCCUUCAGUGCUGCAGCUAACGCAUUAAGCACUCCGCCUGGGGAGUACGGUCGCAAGACUGAAACUCAAAUGAAUUGACGG
This 860-nucleotide ribosomal RNA is filed under the name uncultured bacterium. RNAcentral's name for it is "bacterial SSU rRNA". It matches the Rfam family "Bacterial small subunit ribosomal RNA", at positions 71 to 916 of the family's 1533-position model. The record is from RNAcentral.